AAGUCGUAACAAGGUCUCCGUUGAUGAACCAGCGGAGGGAUCAUUACCGAGUUAUCUAAACUCCCAACCCUAUGUGAACCUUACCGUCGUUGCCUCGGCGGGCCGCGCUUACCCGGUAGCUACCCUGUAGCUACCCGGUAGGUGCGCUACAGGCCCGCCGGUGGACUACUAAACUCUGUUUUAAUACUGUAUCUCUGAAUGCUUCAACUUAAUAAGUUAAAA
RNAcentral lists this unclassified non-coding RNA (222 nucleotides) under plant metagenome. RNAcentral describes it as "partial contains small subunit ribosomal RNA and internal transcribed spacer 1". The stretch from base 1 to 46 matches the Rfam family "Eukaryotic small subunit ribosomal RNA", at positions 1786 to 1831 of the family's 1831-position model. The record is from RNAcentral.